Molecule: long non-coding RNA, 1718 nt
Organism: Alligator sinensis (Chinese alligator)
Lineage: Eukaryota; Metazoa; Chordata; Crocodylia; Alligatoridae
Exons: 2
Source: RefSeq, a predicted model, not a curated record
GGCAAACCACUGCUGGCUCUCAGGACCGAGUCAGCACGCUGCGAUCUACGAGCCUCCCACGAGGCACUGAGUGACAGCAGGGCAUGCCGAGAUACUUGCCAACAGGGCCAGGACUGAGAAAGGCUUUGCUACAAGUGCUGCCCGAGCCUCGCUCGCUCCUCCAGGCACCUGUAAGCAGAGGGGAGGGAGCCCUCCGGACGUGCCACGUAGCCAGCAGCUCUCCCUUUGCUCGGGGACGGCAAAUGCCGACAGCCGUCGUUAUCAGGACUGCUGCGCUAUCUAGGAGGCUGAUAAGGAGUCCACUGCGUUACUGUACACGCAGCAGUGUCCCCGCUCUGGAGGACUCGCAAUCUAACAGAAGACAAGAUCCAGCCGAUGGGGAGGAAGAGGAAACGACCAGAUACCAGCAGUCAGCAAGGCAGGCAGCGGUUCGGACUGCGCCGGAGCAGAGGGGAGCUAAGGGAGGAGUGGAAGGAGAGCGGGCAGCGUGUGGGACAGAUGUUGAGUUCCUCUUCCCCGUCCUCUACUUGGUCGUGCUGCGUGGGUAGCUCGCCUGGCACAUACCAGAGGGGACUCGACCCAGUCCAUGUGCGCCAUGCGCUGGCCCCUGACGUCACUCACACAAGUGAAGUGCUUCAAUUGAGCCUCUGGUGACGGAGAAGGAAAAGGGCCUGGGGCUUCUCUGCUCCAGUGCAGGAUCCUGUUGGGAAAGGCCAGCUUGUCCCUUCUCCGAGGAGAGACUGAGCACAGCCACCCUCCAGCUAAAAUGCUAAUGGAGGGGGCAGGAGGUGCCAUUUGCCCCGACUUGGGUGGUGUAUCGGGAGAGAGGCAGAAGGCGCAGGAAGCGCCUGGCAUUUGCAAGGAGAGUCCAAAUGUCUGGCUGAAAAUGGAUGAGCUGUCAGCAAAGCUGCAGCAGUGCAGUGGAAGGGAGAACCACGGCAGGUCCCAGCAGUCCCCCGAAUACCUGCUGGUGAGCUGCGAGCCAGCAACACCCUCCUUGCGCCUAUGAGCGUCAUGCAUGGGGAUUUCAGUCGUUCACACAUCCGCCUCCAGCGAUGAUGGGAGGGAAGGGUGUCUGAGAAGACUGAAGCCAAGGAGGCAAGAACAGCUCUGUCUUCUCUGCACUUUCAGAUGGGAGCUCACCUUCUCUGGUCAGCAGCAGCCCCCAGUUUGUUGGACACUGGUAGACCCCCCCUUGUCACCUUAAAUAUCCCUUGCCAGCUGCAUCUCCUGAUGUGCCAGAGGGUGGUACAGUUCCCACACCCCCUGGCAGCAACACCGUGUGUAACCCCAGGGACCAGGCUGGGCCAGUAAACCCUUUUACUGUGCAGAGCACAAGAACUGGAACCAGAAAUGGAAUAUUAAAUAAAAGAUUUCCUUUUAUUUAAAAUACAAUGCAUUUAUACGUAGUCUUUCCACCACAGGCUACCGGGACACAAGACUGGUAAUUCCUUGGCAUGAGGUGGGUCAGGCUCCCUCGGCGCUGGUGCUGGUGCUGGUGCACAGGCAGGAGCCGCUGACUCCAGGCAGGGUUAUUAAAGACACUGCGGCCUGGCUCUAACAAAAGUCGGACUUAACUUAGAUAAAAAGGUACUGAACUGCAACUAUCCGUUCCUAAACUCCUACCCUUAUCUUUUAGAAGCCUAAUAGCAUUAAUGCUGAUGCACGAGAUCUAUGCAGUACUCUAGCUGGCUUGUGAGACUAGUUAAAAAAAAAAA